GUUUGGCUUAGUUAGUGGGCAUAAACUAAUUCGAACCCAAAUCUGGGUCUUCAACUAAGGCCUUUUUUAGGGGACUUCUUGUUUUACCAUAAUUGUCUUCCGAGCAGCCUUGGACAUUU
Molecule: non-coding RNA, 119 nt
Organism: Camellia sinensis
Lineage: Eukaryota; Viridiplantae; Streptophyta; Magnoliopsida; Ericales; Theaceae
Source: RefSeq, a predicted model, not a curated record